RNAcentral lists this non-coding RNA (21 nucleotides) under Caenorhabditis elegans. Lineage: Eukaryota; Metazoa; Nematoda; Chromadorea; Rhabditida; Rhabditidae. The record is from RNAcentral.
UUCUGUUUUUCUGUCACGACA